RNAcentral lists this unclassified non-coding RNA (2680 nucleotides) under Homarus americanus (American lobster). RNAcentral's name for it is "hrp65 protein-like, transcript variant X6". The record is from RNAcentral. Lineage: Eukaryota; Metazoa; Arthropoda; Malacostraca; Decapoda; Nephropidae.
GUAUCGAUCAUUCACCCCAGCACACACAGCUCCGGCGGCUGCUCCUCCAUUACUCCUCCUCCGCCAUUUUGAGUCAAGCUGUUGGGUGUGUGGUGUUCCCUCUUAUUGUCCCAAGCCAUGGCGAUGGACGCUCAGGCUCAGGCCAAGAAUAUGGAAAAUGUGAAGAAAGAACCGCAGACGCCGAAAGCAAGUGAGAACGGUGAGAACACGAGUAACUUCCGCGGCGGCGGCGGGCGAGGUGGACGAGGAGGCUUCCGUGGGAACCGGGGCGGUGGCGGCCCUGGAGGCCGUGGCGGUGGAGGCAGCACAAAUCUAGGCAAUGUUCAGACCUCGACUCAGGUGCCUGGUGGUAUAGGGAGUCUGGGGGCCAGCAGUGGCGGCGGCAGCAGCAGCAGUAGCGUCGGCCGUGGAGGAGGCGGCGGCGGCGGCGGCGGCGGCAGUAACAGCCACAACAACACAGACAACAGGAAUGACCAACACCCACACCAGCAUCACCAACAACACCAGAGGAGUGAUCAGCGGGGUGGCGGUGGCGGCUACUAUAGGGGUGGUCGAGGACGUGGCGGCCGAGGUGGUGGCGGCGGUGGUGGCGGUGGCGGCUCUAACUAUGGCGACAGGGAGGGCAGCUCUCAGAGGAACCAGACUCGACUAGCAGCACCCCAGCGUCAGUAUACAGUAGGUCAUCAAGACAGAAUCUUAGAACGCCUGAAACAACUCGCUGGACCCUUAAUUGAUCUGCCACCGAGGGAGGAAGCUGUUCGCAAAUUUUCUAAUCACUGCAGACUGUGGGUAGGAAACCUGCCCCUGGACAUUAAGGAGGACGAUGUUAAGGAACUUUUUAAACCAUAUGGAGAGUUUGAUGAAGUUUAUUUUGACAAAAACAAAGGAUUUGCCUUUGUUCGCAUGGACUUUAAAAGUAAUGCCGAGAAAGCACGGCAAGAACUUCACCUGAAGGAUUACAAGGGACGACAGCUCAAAAUUCGAUUCUCAUCGCCGGGCACAGCACUCAAGAUCCGCAAUCUUUCUACUUGGGUUACAAAUGAGCUUUUAGAGAAAGCCUUUUCGGUGUUUGGGGAACUUGAAAAAGCUAUUGUCAUUACCGAUGAACGUGGACGCGCUACUGGUGAAGGCAUCGUUGAGUUCUGUAAGAAACCUUCUGCCAAUUUGGCGCUCAAAAAGUGCAACGAAGGAUGUUUCUUUAUGGUCUCGUCUCCCCGUCCAGUUAUAGUGGAACAGAUGGCUCUAGUUGAUGAUAAUGAAGGAAUGAGUGAAAUAAAUGUAAACAAGCGCAAUCCAGAGUAUGUUAAGGAGCGGCAGCAGGGACCACGCUUUGCACAUCCUGGAUCCUUUGAAUAUGAGUAUGGCUUGAAAUGGAAGCAGCUGUAUGAACUGUUUGAUAAGAAGAAAGACGCUCUGGACAAAGAGUUACAAGACGAGAAGAGGAAAUUGGAGGAACAGAUAGAAUAUGCCAAGUACGAGCACGAGACAGAGAUGCUCAGAGAACAUGGUGUUUAUCCGACAGAGUUACGCCAGAGGGAAGAGAUGAAUCAGCGUACAAAGUCAGAUUACGAAGCGCGUCAGCGUGAGUGGGAGGAACACCGCCGCACAGAAGAGGAAAGACAGCGUCGCCAGGAGGAAGAAUUGUCAUUGAAGUUCCGUCAGCAAGAGGAGGAGCUCCGCAGACGUCAGGAGGAGAACCGACAAUUUAUGCAGGAACGUGCUAGUGAUAUGUUGAAGAAUGAAAAUAGCCAAGACAGUUUUGGAAGUACUGGUUAUCAAGGCACCGAGGGCAGCAACUGGCGCCGCAACAGUGACAGUUACAGAUCCCAGGGAGGCAGCAGCUGGCGUGGUGGUGGUAGUGACUCUUGGGGUCGUUCUGGGAUGGCAGGUAGUCGUGGAGGCACUAGCUCGUCUGGUCUGGGCAGUAGCUGGGCAGACAGUAGCUGGGAUGGUCGUCCUGAUCCCUGGCAGAGUGACAGUCGCAGUGCAUACCAGCGUGGCAGCAGUGAGAGUGAGCUCCCGCCUCCUCCGACCACCAACCAUGCUGGUGGUUCCUCCUCCAUACGCAACCCAGGGAGAGGGGAAGAGAAAGAGGCAGAGGACACCACCAAGGAGAUGACGUAUUACAGAGGACGAAGUUCUGGGUAUCGUCGCGGUACUAGGAUGGGCCUGGUGACCUGACCUGUGGUACCAGGAUUGUGAUGUAACCGUCAGGGGCACGGCUACAAGGGUGAUAUGUGCGGGUAAUGGUGGGAUCUCGGUGGAUGUUGUGAUAGAGGGGGGCCUCAAAAUUUCACAGGGUGUAGUCGGAGAUAAUCUCUGGCCAUUGAACUGCACCCUGGAGCUUUGAAAAGAUUGGUUGCUGAUAUGGAUGAUGAUAAUGGUGCUGUUCCAUCUGCAUGACAAUCCCAUCAGCUGAUUUAAUUCAUAUUUUAAUGUAGCCCAUUUUAGCUCGGUGAAAAUUUUUGGAAAUUUUUCAGGAAAUAGGGUGUCUUCAAGUUACAGUUUGCUUUGGCAAGAAUUUGAAAUUGUUUUUAUCACAUAUUUUGCUGGAUAGCAAAUUCCAUCAACUAUUUUAUGGAAAAAAAUUAAUUCCUCAUGUAGAUGUAAGGUGUUGUUACUUUAUUUGUAUUAUAUGGAAUACAAUAUAUUUUGUAACCGGUGCAUAAAAUAAUUUAUU